This 1341-nucleotide long non-coding RNA is filed under the name Salmo trutta (river trout). RNAcentral describes it as "lncRNA (ENSSTUG00000021374.1)". The record is from RNAcentral. Lineage: Eukaryota; Metazoa; Chordata; Actinopteri; Salmoniformes; Salmonidae.
UGUUUGUAAUAUCCAUUAUUGCAUGGAUGGGUGAUAAAAAUCAAUUUGGUUGUCCAUCACUGAGUCACGAGAAUGUCCCAUUUGUUGUAGAUUUACCAAUAAUCAGCUGGAGAGUGAGAAGGCAGAGCUGGUACAGAAGCUCAGAGUACAGUGAGAAGUAUGGGACAUCCUUUGCUGGGCCAGGGUAUGAGGAGCUGCAAGCCCUGAUGAAGGCCACAAAAAAGGCAGUUGCAGGUAUUGUGAUGUCUGCUCUAUAUCUCAUCUGAGUUGUUUUGAUUGUAGAAAAAUAAUGGCUUAUUCUAAUUUAUUCCUCUGUGAACAUAUUUUUUUAUACCUUCCUGAAUCCAGGACAAAGUGAAAAAGAUGAAGUAACUGGAGAACUUUGACCCGAUAUUCUUUGAGGAGAUCGAGGAUCGUUACGGCCUUAUUCUAAAAUUGAUUAAAUAGUUUUUUCCCCCUCAUCAAUCUAGACUCACUUCUUAUUGGUGUCCUUUAGUAGUUUCUUUGCAGCAAUUUGACCAUGAAGGCCUGAUUCAGUUGAUGUUGAUGUGUCUGUUACUUGAACUGUGUGAAUCAUUUAUUUGGACUGCAAUUUGAGGCUGUUAACUCUAAUGAACUUAUCCUCUGCAGCAGAUUUAACUUGGGUCUUCCUUUCCUGUGGCGGUCCUCAUGAGAGCCAGUUUCAUCAUAGCUCUUGAUGGUUUUUGUGACUACACUUGAAGAAACGUUCUUGAAAUUUUCUGGAUUGACUGAACUUCAUGUCUUUAAGUAAUGAUGGACUGUUGUUUCUCUUUGUUAUUUGAGCUGUUCUUGCCAUAUUAUGGACUUGGUAUUUUACAAAAUAGGGCUAUCACAACACAACUGAUUGGCUUAAACGCAUUAAGAAGGAAAGAAAUGCCACAAAUUAACUUUUAAUAAGGCACACCUGUUAAUUGAAAUGCAUUCCAGGUGACUACCUCAUGAAGGUAUUCAACAAGGCAAAGGGUGGCUACUUUGAAGAAUCUCAAAUAUAAAAUAUAUUUUGUUUAACCCUUUUUUUUGUUACUACAUGAUUACAUGUUAUUUCAUAGUUUUGAUGUCUUUACUGUUAUUCGACAAAAAAACAACCCUGGAAUGAGUAGGUGUGUCCAAACUUUUGACUAGUACUGUAAGUACAAUUUAUUUUAUUUUUUUUAUUAUUGACUGUGUUUGUUUAUUCCAUGUGUAACUAACUCUGAGUUGUAUGUGUCAAACUGCUUUGCUUUAUCUUGGCCAGGUCGCAGUUGUAAAUGAGAACUUGUUCUCAACUGGCCUACCUGGUGAAAUAAAAAGUAUUCAGACCCUUUACUCAGUACUUUGUUG